Molecule: long non-coding RNA, 225 nt
Filed under: Lathyrus oleraceus (garden pea)
Lineage: Eukaryota; Viridiplantae; Streptophyta; Magnoliopsida; Fabales; Fabaceae
Description: Pisum sativum (pea) long non-coding RNA (PSAT_LNC014234)
Source: RNAcentral
UUUGAAGAAUUAAGGGAUUAAAUUGGUCUUUUUAAAAGUUAAGGGAUAAAAAUGGACCUCGAGGUAUAUAUAAGGGAGGAAAAAGGGUAUUUAGCCUAAACUAAUUAAUGAAAUAUUAUUUGCUUAAGUAAUUGUGUGAGUUUUAUUCUUUAUAUAAAAAUAUCUCUCAUUUGAUUGUUUCGAGUGAGUGUUGUAUAUCAACUAAUAUUGAUUUCAAUGUUUAAG